RNAcentral lists this ribosomal RNA (253 nucleotides) under uncultured bacterium. RNAcentral describes it as "partial 16S ribosomal RNA". It matches the Rfam family "Bacterial small subunit ribosomal RNA", at positions 524 to 776 of the family's 1533-position model. The record is from RNAcentral.
GACAGGGGGUGCAAGCGUUACUCGGAAUUACUGGGCGUAAAGUGCGUGUAGGCGGUCUAUUAAGUCAACUGUGAAAGCCCCCGGCUCAAUCGGGGAAGUGCAGUGGAUACUGCUAGACUAGAGUGCAGGAGAGGAGGGUGGAAUUCCCGGUGUAGAUGUGAAAUUCGUAGAACUCGGGAGGAACAACAGAGGCGAAGGCGGCCCUCUGGACUGCAACUGACGCUUGGGAGCGAAAGCGUGGGGAGCAAGCGAG